RNAcentral lists this unclassified non-coding RNA (391 nucleotides) under soil metagenome. Its description in RNAcentral is "partial contains 5.8S ribosomal RNA, internal transcribed spacer 2, and large subunit ribosomal RNA". The stretch from base 1 to 122 matches the Rfam family "5.8S ribosomal RNA", at positions 35 to 154 of the family's 154-position model. The record is from RNAcentral.
GAUGAAGAACGUAGCGAAAUGCGAUACUUGGUGUGAAUUGCAGAGUCCCGUGAACCAUCGAGUCUUUGAACGCAAGUUGCGCCCGAAGCCAUUAGGCCGAGGGCACGCCUGCCUGGGCGUCACACGUCGUUGCCCCCCCAUCUACUCCUUCGGGAUUGCGGGGGGCGGAUGAUGGCCUCCCGUGCGCCUCGCCGCGCGGUUGGCAUAAAUGCCAAGUCCUCGGCGACGCACGCCACGACAAUCGGUGGUUGCGAAACCUCGGUUGCCCGUCGUGUGCGGUCGUCGCGCAUCGAGGGCUCGAAAAAAUUGCCGGGUUCCGGCUCGGCUUUCAACGCGACCCCAGGUCAGGCGGGGUUACCCGCUGAAUUUAAGCAUAUCAAUAAGCGGAGGA